CAGUAGCUCAGCUGGAUAGAGCAUUUGCCUUCUAAGCAAAGGGUCAGGGGUUCGAGUCCCUUCUGG
Molecule: transfer RNA, 66 nt
Filed under: human gut metagenome
Rfam family: tRNA
About the family: Transfer RNA (tRNA) molecules are approximately 80 nucleotides in length. Their secondary structure includes four short double-helical elements and three loops (D, anti-codon, and T loops). Further hydrogen bonds mediate the characteristic L-shaped molecular structure. tRNAs have two regions of fundamental functional importance: the anti-codon, which is responsible for specific mRNA codon recognition, and the 3' end, to which the tRNAs corresponding amino acid is attached (by aminoacyl-tRNA synthetases). tRNAs cope with the degeneracy of the genetic code in two manners: having more than one tRNA (with a specific anti-codon) for a particular amino acid; and 'wobble' base-pairing, i.e. permitting non-standard base-pairing at the 3rd anti-codon position.
Source: RNAcentral